Molecule: ribosomal RNA, 497 nt
Filed under: uncultured bacterium
Lineage: Bacteria
Description: partial 16S ribosomal RNA
Rfam family: Bacterial small subunit ribosomal RNA
Source: RNAcentral
GACGAACGCUGGCGGCGUGCCUAAUACAUGCAAGUCGAACGCUGAAGAGAGGAGCUUGCUCUUCUUGGAUGAGUUGCGAACGGGUGAGUAACGCGUAGGUAACCUGCCUUGUAGCGGGGGAUAACUAUUGGAAACGAUAGCUAAUACCGCAUAACAAUGGAUGACACAUGUCAUUUAUUUGAAAGGGGCAAUUGUUCCACUACAAGAUGGACCUGCGUUGUAUUAGCUAGUAGGUGAGGUAAUGGCUCACCUAGGCGACGAUACAUAGCCGACCUGGGAGGGUGAUCGGCCACACUGGGACUGAGACACGGCCCAGACUCCUACGGGAGGCAGCAGUAGGGAAUCUUCGGCAAUGGGGGCAACCCUGACCGAGCAACGCCGCGUGAGUGAAGAAGGUUUUCGGAUCGUAAAGCUCUGUUGUAAGUCAAGAACGGGUGUGAGAGUGGAAAGUUCACACUGUGACGGUAGCUUACCAGAAAGGGACGGCUAACUACGUG